RNAcentral lists this ribosomal RNA (164 nucleotides) under Moringa oleifera (horseradish tree). RNAcentral's name for it is "5.8S ribosomal RNA". It matches the Rfam family "5.8S ribosomal RNA". From Rfam's summary of the family: 5.8S ribosomal RNA (5.8S rRNA) is a component of the large subunit of the eukaryotic ribosome. It is transcribed by RNA polymerase I as part of the 45S precursor that also contains 18S and 28S rRNA. Functionally, it is thought that 5.8S rRNA may be involved in ribosome translocation. Lineage: Eukaryota; Viridiplantae; Streptophyta; Magnoliopsida; Brassicales; Moringaceae. The record is from RNAcentral.
AAAAUGACUCUCGGCAACGGAUAUCUCGGCUCUCACAUCGAUGAAGAACGUAGCGAAAUGCGAUACUUGGUGUGAAUUGCAGAAUCCCGUGAACCAUCGAGUCUUUGAACGCAAGUUGCGCCCGAAGCCAUCAGGCCAAGGGCACGUCUGCCUGGGUAUCAAGC